UACGUAGGGUGCAAGCGUUGUCCGGAAUUACUGGGCGUAAAGCGUGCGCAGGCGGUUGUGCAAGACCGAUGUGAAAUCCCCGGGCUUAACCUGGGAAUGGCAUUGGUGACUGCACGGCUAGAGUGUGUCAGAGGGGGGUAGAAUUCCACGUGUAGCAGUGAAAUGCGUAGAGAUGUGGAGGAAUACCGAUGGCGAAGGCAGCCCCCUGGGAUAACACUGACGCUCAUGCACGAAAGCGUGGGGAGCAAACAGG
RNAcentral lists this ribosomal RNA (253 nucleotides) under uncultured bacterium. RNAcentral's name for it is "partial 16S ribosomal RNA". It matches the Rfam family "Bacterial small subunit ribosomal RNA", at positions 524 to 776 of the family's 1533-position model. The record is from RNAcentral.